This 48-nucleotide transfer RNA is filed under the name Murina ussuriensis (Ussurian tube-nosed bat). RNAcentral's name for it is "partial tRNA-Thr". Lineage: Eukaryota; Metazoa; Chordata; Mammalia; Chiroptera; Vespertilionidae. The record is from RNAcentral.
CCCGGUCUUGUAAACCGGAAAAGGAGAAUUAAAUUUCCCCCAAAGACU